This 253-nucleotide ribosomal RNA is filed under the name uncultured bacterium. RNAcentral's name for it is "partial 16S ribosomal RNA". It matches the Rfam family "Bacterial small subunit ribosomal RNA", at positions 524 to 776 of the family's 1533-position model. The record is from RNAcentral.
UACGGAGGGUGCGAGCGUUAAUCGGAAUUACUGGGCGUAAAGCGCGCGUAGGCGGUUAUUUAAGUCGGAUGUGAAAGCCCCGGGCUCAACCUGGGAACUGCAUUCGAUACUGGGUAACUAGAGUACGAGAGAGGGAGGUAGAAUUCCACGUGUAGCGGUGAAAUGCGUAGAUAUGUGGAGGAAUACCAGUGGCGAAGGCGACUUUCUGGACUGUAACUGACGCUGAGGCACGAAAGCGUGGGUAGCGAAAGGG